UGGGGGAUAGUUUAAAGGUAGAAUAGCGGACUCUGAAUCCGUUGGUCUUGGUUCGAGUCCAAGUCCCCCAACCA
Molecule: transfer RNA, 74 nt
Filed under: Candidatus Tokpelaia sp. JSC161
Lineage: Bacteria; Pseudomonadati; Pseudomonadota; Alphaproteobacteria; Hyphomicrobiales
Description: tRNA-Gln
Rfam family: tRNA
About the family: Transfer RNA (tRNA) molecules are approximately 80 nucleotides in length. Their secondary structure includes four short double-helical elements and three loops (D, anti-codon, and T loops). Further hydrogen bonds mediate the characteristic L-shaped molecular structure. tRNAs have two regions of fundamental functional importance: the anti-codon, which is responsible for specific mRNA codon recognition, and the 3' end, to which the tRNAs corresponding amino acid is attached (by aminoacyl-tRNA synthetases). tRNAs cope with the degeneracy of the genetic code in two manners: having more than one tRNA (with a specific anti-codon) for a particular amino acid; and 'wobble' base-pairing, i.e. permitting non-standard base-pairing at the 3rd anti-codon position.
Source: RNAcentral